UUAUGUUUUGAAUGAGCACUUAAGGCAAAUUAGCCAUUUUUGACCUUGACCAGAAAAUAUACCCUUUAUGAUAUUGCACAUAGGAUAUUAGCAUACUAUAACUUGGACUAAUUGUCUUUGAUACUACUAAGUAUUGUGAUGCACUUAUGAUAAGAUAUAGGCAUUCCUUGUUCACUACACCCACUAGCCAAAUACCCACCAGGACCACAUUUUUCCAUUGCGCCCUUUUCUUUUAGCAUGUUUAUCAUUUUGUGUGUUUUUUAGCUCCUUACAAGUCUUUAGACAAGAAAAACCAAUAAAUACCUAAUCAUGGACUUUUGAUAGGCUUUGAAAAAAAUUAAAAAUACUAUAAAACUCAAGUGUGCGAGGAAGUAGCCUAAGUAGUUUGAUACAAGAAAAUGUUGAAUAGUGUAUUAAAGAAGUUUGAAAUUAAAAAAAAAAUACUGUGGUCUGUGAAGAGAAAAUAGAAAAAGUUGGAAAUAAAAGGAUGUGAAAAAGAAAAUAAAAGAAAAAAAGUGGCAUGAGCAACUUGAAAAGAAAAAUGUUGAAUUAUGUGAAAAGGAAGUUUGAAAUUGAAGAAAAACAACAAAGCUGAUAAAAGAGAAAAAAUAGAAAAAGUUGUAAAUGAAAGGAGGUGGGAGAGAAAAGAAAAAAGAAAAGUGACCUGAACAAUUUGAUACAAAAUAAAAUGUUGAACAGAGUGAGAUAGGAGUAUAAUUUCUUUAUUUUUGAAAUUGUACUUUCAAGCAUAAUUUACUUAAAUGCAAAAAAUUUGUAAAAUUGGUCCUUUUCAAAAAGAUAUAAAAUUGCAUCAAUUUGGUAAAAGAACUUAUUAUUUAUGUAAUGCAUGGAUUUUAACUAAUUUGAUCAUAUUCGUUUUGCAUAAUAUUGUUCUAUUUAUUGAGCACUAAAUAUAAAUUCCGAAAACAGUUUAUAGACAGAAGGUAUAAAUAUUGAAAUAAAUUGAUAAAAGGCCAGAAGCCCACAUAUCAUAAAAAAGUUUAAUGGCAGUUUCUUCCUCACCCACAUGUUUUCUAGCUGCACCCAUAUGGGUUGUCAAAAGAUCUUUCUACCCUUAAUGAAAUUAAAUAAAACUCUACUUUUUCUAUUUCUCUCUAACAGAUUGUUCUUCUUCCAUGUUGUUGCAGCCACACCCCGCUCGCCCUCGUCUUAUUCAACCCAUUGGCUGCUUAUCUUUUUCAUUUUCUUUUGUAUGUUUGUUUUCCGGAUUUGGUAAUAUAAUUUUUUUAAUUAUAAAUUUCGAAAUAUAUUAAGUUUUUU
RNAcentral lists this long non-coding RNA (1281 nucleotides) under Vigna radiata. RNAcentral describes it as "long non-coding RNA (VRAD_LNC013988)". The record is from RNAcentral. Lineage: Eukaryota; Viridiplantae; Streptophyta; Magnoliopsida; Fabales; Fabaceae.